GGCAAUUUUGUGAGACAACGAGAGUCUCUCGGGUGUGCGCGUGAUCAAGUUUUUGUGAGGAACCUGCAUGAUCUUGCGCAUGAAGUAAAUAUUUUUGGACAGUUUCUUCUCUGGACGGCGUUACAAGUACAGGCAAGCGGGUAUCAACGGUUGUUAUUGCUGUACUUUGUGGUGUUGUGAUUCACCAGUGCGGAUCGAAGAGCACCGUUUUCUCCAGCCCGGAUUCUACAAUUUGGAGAUGGUGUACAAGGCGAUGUGCAAGUGCAUUUCACACCUUGGGGAGCUGCAAGAUAUGCUUUCACAAUCCUUGCUGCAAGUGUUCAAAUAAAGGGUUUCAAGUUUCA
Molecule: long non-coding RNA, 344 nt
Filed under: Dermacentor andersoni
Lineage: Eukaryota; Metazoa; Arthropoda; Arachnida; Ixodida; Ixodidae
Description: uncharacterized LOC126528116
Source: RNAcentral